Non-coding RNA from Delphinapterus leucas (beluga whale), 4035 nucleotides. Lineage: Eukaryota; Metazoa; Chordata; Mammalia; Artiodactyla; Monodontidae. The record is from RefSeq and is a predicted model, not a curated record.
CAUGGGAGCCGGGAGCUGCUCAGCAAAGGUAGGAGUUGCCGACUAGGCCAGGAAUGGGGGCCAGACCCAGGCCUGGUGGUGAAUGCUGAGGUACUGUACAGAAGGGUACAGCCCAUCCUACCUUACAGUGGGCAGUUUUGUCAGGGGAUGGGCCCCCAGGUAUCCCGAAGGCAAUAUUGGGGUGUGGGCAUCUCUGAAGCCUAGAGAUGGGGAUUGAUCUGCUGCCAGCAGGAGUACCCACAUCCUGCAGGCAGACAGGUUCCUCAUCUAUCUUGCUCUGUGUCAUAGAAAUGGGUCCCCUUCAUCCUAGGAAAGAAUCCUUUGGCAUCCAGGCUGACGGGCAACUCUGUGUCCUGGGCGUCGGCAACUCUCCUAGGGAGAGGUGCUGUAGCCCCCUGAAAAUCUUUCCUGGCUUAGGAGGGGCAUGCUCUUCUCUGAAGGGAGGCCAGUCUCGGGUCCUUGGGAUGGAGGCUCUGCAACUAAGAAACAGGUGUAUGUGAAUCCCAACACCUCUGUGGCCUUGGGCUGGGCACUUAUGUACAUCUUGCAUCCUGAGACACAGUUGUUUGUAACUUGACCAUACCCCUGCUAGAGGCCCAGACCCCAGAUCCUUGGGUGGCAAAGCCUUCCAGGUACUGAGAAGUCCUAGAGGUGAGGGAAGGGUUGCUGGAAGGGAGCAGAGGGAGGACAAGAGUGUCCGAGAAGGCAUGAUGAUAUGAGCUAGGAAUGGAGUGAGGCUCCCUGGGCUUCCCCUGUGAAACCGUUACCCACAGCCCUCUCAGGCUUUACCCUGGUCCAUCAGUGAGGAAGUGCUGGGGAGCAGGUAUAUUGGCUCUUCUGUUAGGAGGUAAAUGGGAAUACUGGAAUUUAGGGGUCAGUGCAGAGAUACUGGCAAGGCUGAGGGGGUGAAAAGGAGAAAUGUCCAAUGCCUUCUUGCCUAGGGCUCCAUCAUGGCUGCACAGCACCCCUCCAUCUCCACGUGGAAACCAUGUCUGCUUCCCGCAGUCUGGGACCCUGGCCACUGUGGAGGGCACCAUCAAACACAGUAUGGCACGGUGGGCUGGAGUACUGGCUCGGGAGCCAGGCCUCCUGGGUGCGUACCUGGACCUUGCUACUUACUAGCUGUGUGACCUUUGAUGCCUUUAUGAGGAAACUGAAGUUCAGAAGAGUUAGUAGCUCCCAGACCUAGGACUGGAAACCUGAUCUCGUGCUCCUUCUCCUCGACAGCUGCUGCCAUUCUGAGGAGACAAGAAAUCAGGAAAUUUACAUAAGCAACCUUAAAACUGGGCACUAUCCCAGAGCUCAGCAGGACCCUGGGAAAGGGAAAGGAUUUAGAGUCCCUGGAUAACAGUCCUUGAAAGGGGAGAAGGGUGUGGAGAAGAGAGGAAAGGAGCAGGAGACCACUCAGAAGACGGAGUGUUGAGUGGGUGAGGCUCCUGCAUCUCUCAUGCUCCUGCUUCCUUGCAGUCACCAAGGUGGACCCGGAGCUGCCUCCCGAGCCCUCAGUCCCCGGCCUUGAGGGCUGGCAACAAGAGCCUGCCCGAGAGGCUCCAGCAGGAGGCGCUCUCUCCCCACCCCAACCCGCACACACAAAAUUGGGAAGCCUGGGCCUGGGCUCGCCAUCCCAGGGUCACUGGACUAGGAUGGGGGAUGGGCCUGUGACAGGAGGUGCCCUGGGUGUCCUCUUUCGGCCCCAUGGAGUCCUCCCCCAUCCCCCCGUCAUCAGGGAACUCUUCCACUCUGGGGAGGGUCCCUCAAACCCCAGGUCCCUCUACUGCCAGUGGGGUCCCAGAGGUAGGGCUGCGGGACGUGGCUUCAGAAUCUGUGGCCCUCUUCUUCAUGCUCCUGCUGGACUUGACCGCUGUGGCUGGCAAUGCUGCUGUGAUGGCUGUUAUCGCCAAGACACCCGCCCUUCGAAAAUUUGUCUUUGUCUUCCACCUCUGCCUGGUGGACCUGCUGGCUGCCCUGACCCUCAUGCCCCUGGCCAUGCUCUCCAGCUCCGCCCUCUUUGACCGUGACCUCUUUGGGGAGGUUGCCUGCCGCCUCUACUUGUUCCUGAGCGUAUGCUUUGUUAGCCUGGCCAUUCUCUCGGUGUCGGCCAUCAACGUGGAGCGCUACUAUUACGUGGUCCACCCCAUGCGCUACGAGGUGCGCAUGACGCUGGGGCUGGUGGCCUCUGUUCUGGUGGGUGUGUGGGUAAAGGCCUUGGCCAUGGCUUCUGUGCCGGUGUUGGGAAGGGUCUCCCUGGAGGAGGGAGCUCCCCGUGUUCCCCCAGGCUGCUCACUCCAAUGGAGCCACAGUGCCUACUGCCAGCUUUUUGUGGUGGUCUUUGCUGUCCUUUACUUCUUGUUGCCCCUGCUCCUCAUCCUAGUGGUCUACUGCAGCAUGUUCCGAGUAGCCCGAGUGGCUGCCAUGCAGCACGGACCGCUGCCCACGUGGAUGGAGAACCCCCGGCAACGCUCCGAGUCUCUCAGCAGCCGCUCCACCAUGGUCACCAGCUCGGGGGCCCCCCAGACCACCCCGCACCGGACGUUUGGGGGAGGGAAGGCAGCAGUGGUUCUCCUGGCUGUAGGGGGACAGUUCCUGCUCUGUUGGUUGCCCUACUUUUCUUUUCACCUCUACGUCGCCCUGAGUGCUCAGCCCAUUUUGACCGGGCAGGUUGAGAAUGUGGUGACCUGGAUUGGCUACUUCUGCUUCACUUCCAACCCUUUCUUCUAUGGAUGUCUCAAUCGGCAGAUCCGGGGGGAGCUGAGCAAGCAGUUUGUCUGCUUCUUCAAGCAGGCGCCGGAGGAGGAGCUGAGGCUGCCUAGCCGGGAGGGCUCCAUUGAGGAGAACUUCCUGCAGUUUCUUCAGGGCACUGGCUGUCCCACGGAGUCCUGGGUUUCCCGACCUGUACCCAGCCCCAAGCAGGAGCCACCUGCUGUUGACUUUCGAAUCCCCGGCCAGAUAGCUGAGGAGACCUCUGAGUUCCUGGAGCAACAACUCACCAGCGACAUCAUCGUGUCGGACAGCUACCUCCGUCCUGCCCCCUCACCACGACUGGAGUCCUGAUGGGCUGCUGGACACUUGGAGGGAGAUGGGGCUGGGGGCCGGUUAGGACCGCAAGGAACUCCUUGUGGGAUCACCUUUUCCCAGCUAGCUGGGGCUGGGGGUCUCUGCACACAGCUUUCGCUUAGUGUUUUCUGGGUCAGGAACAGAGCCAACUGGAUGGAUAUGUGGCAAAAGCCUUGGACAUGGCUGUGAGCCUUGACAACUGGGGGAGGGAACCUGGUGAGAUGGUGAUGAGAAUAAAGGGUCAAGAAGGUGAGAUGAUGCCUCUCAACCAAUGAACUUUCCAUGACUCAGGAAGCAGGGAAACUAUAAGGGUAGGAGUUGGAAGAUAUAGGGCAGCAGACCAGGCUUGGAGUUAUUCUGGGGACCCUUUAGGACCUUUCAUUUUUCAGUGUAAUUGUCCAGGGAAGAAAUUGCACUCAAGCAAGAGCUGGCCUCCCUGAUCUCUCUCCUCAUGGCAGUGACCCAUCGCCAGCCCUCUGGACAAUCGGGUACAAGAGACUAAGGUCGGGAAUGGGAAAGGUGGGGUUUCCAUGGUUCAUUAAAUGCCUCCCUACUCCCAUUCAUCGCUCUCAAAAUUAGCUUCAGUGACACAGGCUUAAAUCUCUCUCCUAUCUGCAGCCCUGGGUUGGAGAGGGGGCACGGGAAUUGGGCUCAGCUGUUCACUGAUUGAGACUGUAGGAACUGUGUUGGGUGGUCUUGGUGGUGGUAUAUUCAAGGGAGGGGGAAUAAUCGCAAACUGGACAGGACACCCAUCUAGGACUACCCGUCCGUCCACUUCCCUCAAUUCAAUCAGGUCACAUUAGAGAGUUGAGGCAGGACCACAUGGUGGUGUGAUCUGUAUUUGAACAAAUUCCUGGCUUGACUGAGCAUCAAAGAGGAAGAUGGCUUGGUGGGAGUGGGACAGUUUCCCCUCUGAACAGUUAAUAAAUAAUUUUUAUUAUAAAAAGUUAUGCUGAUAUCAACAUUGACUCCUUCAGUUCA